UAGGGAAUCUUCGGCAAUGGGGGGAACCCUGACCGAGCAACGCCGCGUGAGUGAAGAAGGUUUUCGGAUCGUAAAGCUCUGUUGUUAAGGAAGAACGAGUGUGAGAAUGGAAAGUUCAUACUGUGACGGUACUUAACCAGAAAGGGACGGCUAACUACGUGCCAGCAGCCGCGGUAAUACGUAGGUCCCGAGCGUUGUCCGGAUUUAUUGGGCGUAAAGCGAGCGCAGGCGGUUAGAUAAGUCUGAAGUUAAAGGCAGUGGCUCAACCAUUGUAGGCUUUGGAAACUGUUUAACUUGAGUGCAGAAGGGGAGAGUGGAAUUCCAUGUGUAGCGGUGACAUGCGUAGAUAUAUGGAGGAACACCGGUGGCGAAAGCGGCUCUCUGGUCUGUAACUGACGCUGAGGCUCGAAAGCGUGGGGAGCGAACAGG
Molecule: ribosomal RNA, 429 nt
Filed under: Bacteroidota bacterium
Lineage: Bacteria; Pseudomonadati; Bacteroidota
Description: Bacteroidetes bacterium partial 16S ribosomal RNA
Rfam family: Bacterial small subunit ribosomal RNA
Source: RNAcentral